GUUAAGACUACUAAUUCCUACUUAAUCGCAAUACGCAACAGUGCCUACGGACCAAUACAUAAAUCAAUCCGGCAUUAAGCGUUCAAAUAUGGAUUAUAUAAUUACCAAUUAAACAACAUUCAAGUAAAUACUGCUUAUACUGCCGUUGAUUUGAUUAUUUGUAAAUUAUAUGUUGAAUCAAUAAAGAGUUAUUAUAUUUUGAAUACGAUAAUACUUUAAGAUGAUCGGGCUGAUUUUAUAAUAAAAUAUUGAGCGGCGUAUUUUUAAUAAGGUUUUAUUUUACGCGAAAAUUAUUUUUGUCUGUGAUACUCAUGAAUAGAAACUAAACAUGUACUAAAAUUGUUGAAAUUUUCAUAGGAUAAUUAAUAGUAUUCGGUAAUAGGUACUAUUCGAAUUUCGACUUUUCGAUAACAAAAA
RNAcentral lists this unclassified non-coding RNA (417 nucleotides) under Melitaea cinxia (Glanville fritillary). RNAcentral describes it as "misc RNA ENSMCXG00005013459.1". The record is from RNAcentral. Lineage: Eukaryota; Metazoa; Arthropoda; Insecta; Lepidoptera; Nymphalidae.